GAUGAACGCUGGCGGCGUGCCUAAUACAUGCCAGUCGAGCGAACGGACGAGAAGCUUGCUUCUCUGAUGUUAGCGGCGGACGGGUGAGUAACACGUGGAUAACCUACCUAUAAGACUGGGAUAACUUCGGGAAACCGGAGCUAAUACCGGAUAAUAUCUUGAACCGCAUGGUUCAAAAGUGAAAGACGGUCUUGCUGUCACUUAUAGAUGGAUCCGCGCUGCAUUAGCUAGUUGGUAAGGUAACGGCUUACCAAGGCAACGAUGCAUAGCCGACCUGAGAGGGUGAUCGGCCACACUGGAACUGAGACACGGUCCAGACUCCUACGGGAGGCAGCAGUAGGGAAUCUUCCGCAAUGGGCGAAAGCCUGACGGAGCAACGCCGCGUGAGUGAUGAAGGUCUUCGGAUCGUAAAACUCUGUUAUUAGGGAAGAACAUAUGUGUAAGUAACUGUGCACAUCUUGACGGUACCUAAUCAGAAAGCCACGGCUAACUACGUG
RNAcentral lists this ribosomal RNA (497 nucleotides) under uncultured bacterium. RNAcentral describes it as "partial 16S ribosomal RNA". It matches the Rfam family "Bacterial small subunit ribosomal RNA", at positions 28 to 507 of the family's 1533-position model. The record is from RNAcentral.